Long non-coding RNA from Rhipicephalus microplus (southern cattle tick), 771 nucleotides. The record is from RefSeq and is a predicted model, not a curated record. Lineage: Eukaryota; Metazoa; Arthropoda; Arachnida; Ixodida; Ixodidae.
CGAGGAGAAUUUCCGAGAGUAAGUUUAUGGUUGUUUUACGUGCUUAUAAGAUAGUGCAUAACAUGUUAUCUCAUUCUAUUUUUGGUGGUUAGCUUCAUGCGGAUGCCGCCACGAACGUUCGAUACUGUGCUCGAACUGCUGCGCCCCGCAAUAUCCAAGCAGGACACAAACCACCGGCCUACAAUUUCGGCGCACGACUGCCUGGCCAUGACCAUUAGGUAUGCCAAGGAAGUGCGAGAUAAAUUGGCGCACUACUUCGUCACAGACGGUCAGGUGCCUUGGCAGGACAAAGUGGUGAACAGCACUUGAGGCGUACAAGGUGAAGGUGUCGACACGAGUCUCCUCAGCCGUAUCAGGGGUACGUUCCGGUUCCGCUGCAUGUCUUGGCCGAGGCGGUGAUCUGCAGUGAUGAAAAUUUCUUUCUAUGUAUUUGAUGAUGCCGUUAGUACAUGAAAAGUUUUAGGCAUUCUUUGGGAGUUAAAAUGCCAUUAUGAUUUCGCUCAACACGAGGUUUAUUUUACACUUGCGUUACCUCUUGAUUGAGCACUGCUGUAUGGAAGGUGUGCAUACAGAAGUUUAUUGUGCCUAUUAUGUUAAUAAAAUGCUAUGUAGGCUGCACAUCUAAAUGAGAACAAGAAAUAUUGUCACGGAGAUGAAGUAAAAGUAAUUGCAGCCUGUCGCUGAUGAAUACUUUGCUUUUUCAGAAAUAUUUGACGUUGUAAAAUAACCACAUUCACACAGAAACAAUGCCUGUGCCCUCAUGUAUUUCGG